Molecule: small nuclear RNA, 147 nt
Organism: Lutra lutra (Eurasian river otter)
Lineage: Eukaryota; Metazoa; Chordata; Mammalia; Carnivora; Mustelidae
Product: U4 spliceosomal RNA
Exons: 1
Source: RefSeq, a predicted model, not a curated record
AGCUUUGCGCAGUGGCAGUAUCGUAGCCAAUGAGGUUUAUCCGAGGCGCGAUUAUUGCUAAGAAUUUGAUUCUUCUAUAUGGAUGUUAGUAAAUAUUCUUCCAGCAUGAGAAUAUGAAAUCAUUAUGUAUAGUGCUGAAGAAGAAUG